Molecule: unclassified non-coding RNA, 377 nt
Filed under: uncultured Pseudobdellovibrionaceae bacterium
Lineage: Bacteria; Pseudomonadati; Bdellovibrionota; Bdellovibrionia; Bdellovibrionales; Pseudobdellovibrionaceae
Description: uncultured Bdellovibrionaceae bacterium contains 16S-23S intergenic spacer region
Source: RNAcentral
UCCUGCUUAACGCAGGCAGUCCCUCUAGAGUGUCCAACUAAAUGCUGACAACUAAAGGUAAGGGUUGCGCUCGUUGCGGGACUUAACCCAACAUCUCACGACACGAGCUGACGACAGCCAUGCAGCACCUGUAAACCGGCCCUUGCGGGCGAGGACAUUUCUGCCACUCUUCCAGUCUAUGUCAAGCCUAGGUAAGGUUCUUCGCGUUGCAUCGAAUUAAACCACAUGCUCCACCGCUUGUGCGGGCCCCCGUCAAUUUCUUUGAGUUUUAAUCUUGCGACCGUACUCCCCAGGCGGGAUACUUAACGCGUUAGCUACGUCACUAGAGGGGUCAAUACCUCUAACAACAAGUAUCCAUCGUUUAUGGCGUGGACUAC